RNAcentral lists this ribosomal RNA (673 nucleotides) under Debaryomyces hansenii. RNAcentral's name for it is "partial large subunit ribosomal RNA". The stretch from base 1 to 588 matches the Rfam family "Eukaryotic large subunit ribosomal RNA", at positions 66 to 664 of the family's 3401-position model. The record is from RNAcentral. Lineage: Eukaryota; Fungi; Ascomycota; Pichiomycetes; Serinales; Debaryomycetaceae.
UCACAGGGGGGUUAUGCCCUUAGUUACGGCGAGUGAAGCGGCAAAAGCUCAAAUUUGAAAUCUGGCACCUUCGGUGUCCGAGUUGUAAUUUGAAGAAGGUAACUUUGGAGUUGGCUCUUGUCUAUGUUCCUUGGAACAGGACGUCACAGAGGGUGAGAAUCCCGUGCGAUGAGAUGCCCAAUUCUAUGUAAAGUGCUUUCGAAGAGUCGAGUUGUUUGGGAAUGCAGCUCUAAGUGGGUGGUAAAUUCCAUCUAAAGCUAAAUAUUGGCGAGAGACCGAUAGCGAACAAGUACAGUGAUGGAAAGAUGAAAAGAACUUUGAAAAGAGAGUGAAAAAGUACGUGAAAUUGUUGAAAGGGAAGGGCUUGAGAUCAGACUUGGUAUUUUGCGAUCCUUUCCUUCUUGGUUGGGUUCCUCGCAGCUUACUGGGCCAGCAUCGGUUUGGAUGGUAGGAUAAUGACUAAGGAAUGUGGCUCUACUUCGGUGGAGUGUUAUAGCCUUGGUUGAUACUGCCUGUCUAGACCGAGGACUGCGUCUUUUGACUAGGAUGUUGGCAUAAUGAUCUUAAGCCACCCGUCUUAAAAGGGGGACCAAAAAAAAAAAUGAAGGUAUAGAAAAAAAAAAAAAUAAUAUAGGUAAGGUUAAAGGGUGUGAAAACUGUAUAAGGAGGAAGA